GGAUCCUGAGCUGCCAAAGCCACUGUCCUGAACUCCCGCGCGGGUUCCUCUAAUCCCAUUGUCUCUUUUAGAUUCGCUUGGGCCUGUCCACUCUCUGAGCCCCAAAUUCGGGCUGGGUGGUACCACAGCCUGGGCCUAGUGGCUUAACGGUAGCAACAGCAGCGGCAGCCACAGACCCCCUCUUUCUGAAUACGAGCACCGCAGGGACCCGGAAAGCCCGCACAGUCGUUUAGAGAAAAUGGCAGACGGUAUUGAUAUUGAAGCAAUGCUUGAGGCUCCUUACAAGAAGGAUGAGAACAAGUUGAGCAGUGCUAACGGCCAUGAAGAACGUACCAAAAAGAGGGAAAAAAGCAAGAGCAGAAGUCGUAGUCAUGAACGAAAAAGAAGCAACAGUAAGGAACGGAAGCGAAGUAGAGAUAGAGAAAGGAAAAAGAGCAAAAGCCGUGAAAGGAAGCGAAAUAGAAGCAAAGAAAGGAGACGGAGCCGAUCAAGAAGGCGAGAUCGCAGAUUCAGAGGCCGCUACAGAAGUCCUUACAGACGACGUUCUCGAAGCAAAAGUCCAUUCAGAAAAGACAAGAGCCCUGUGAGGGAACGUAUUGAUAAUCUCACUCCUGAGGAAAGAGAUGCAAGGACUGUUUUCUGCAUGCAGCUGGCAGCGAGAAUUCGGCCAAGGGAUUUGGAAGAGUUUUUCUCUACAGUUGAGAAGGUUCGUGAUGUGAGGAUGAUGUCUGACAGAAAUUCAAGACGUUCCAAAGGAAUUGCUUUAUGUGGAGUUUGUUGAUGUUAGCUCAGUGCCUCUAGCAAUAGGAUUAACUGGUCGGUGGGUUUUAGGAGUGCCGAUCAUAGUACAAGCAUCACAGGCAGAAAAAAACAGAGCCUCAGCAAUGGCAAACAAUCUACAAAAGGGAAGUGCUGGACCUAUGAGGCUUUAUGUGGGCUCGUUACACUUUAACAUAACUGAAGAUAUGCUUCGAGGGGUUUUUGAGCCAUUUGGAAGGACUGAAAGUAUCCAGCUCAUGAUGGAUAGUGAAACAGGUCGAUCCAAGGGAUAUGGAUUUAUUACGUUUUCUGAUUCAGAAUGUGCCAAGAAAGCUUUGGAACAACUUGAUGGAUUUGAGCUAGCAGGAAGGCCCAUGAAAGUUGGUCAUGUUACUGAACGUACUGAUGCUUCCAGUGCUAGCUCAUUUUUGGACAGUGAUGAACUGGAAAGGACUGGAAUUGACUUGGGAACAACUGGUCGUCUCCAGUUAAUGGUAAGACUUGCAGAGGGUACAGGUUUGCAGAUCCCGCCAGCAGCACAGCAAGCUUUGCAAAUGAGUGGCUCUUUGGCAUUUGGUGCUGUGGCAGAUUUGCAAACAAGACUUUCCCAACAGACUGAAGCUUCAGCGUUAGCUGCAGCUGCCUCUGUUCAACCUCUGGCAACACAGUGUUUCUAACUCUCUAACAUGUUUAAUCCUCAAACAGAAGAAGAAGUUGGAUGGGAUACAGAGAUUAAAUACGAUGUGAUUGAAGAAUGCAAUAAACACGGAGGAGUUAUUCAUAUUUAUGUUGACAAAAAUUCAGCUCAGGGCAAUGUGUAUGUGAAGUGCCCAUCAAUUGUUGUAGCCAUUGCUGCUGUCAAUGUGUUGCAUGGCAGGUGGUUUGUGGGUAAAAUGGUAACAGCAACAUAUGUAUCUCUUCCAACUUAUCACAACCUCUUCCCUGAUUCUCUGACAGCAACACAACUACUGGUUCCAAGUAGACGAUGAAC
This is an RNA transcript of Capra hircus (goat), 1750 nucleotides long. It is a transcript of the gene named RNA-binding protein 39 pseudogene, with no coding region annotated. The transcript has a single exon. Lineage: Eukaryota; Metazoa; Chordata; Mammalia; Artiodactyla; Bovidae. The record is from RefSeq and is a predicted model, not a curated record.